This is a long non-coding RNA of Antechinus flavipes (yellow-footed antechinus), 2257 nucleotides long. RefSeq lists it as uncharacterized. The transcript is spliced from 2 exons. The record is from RefSeq and is a predicted model, not a curated record. NCBI's taxonomy places the organism in Eukaryota, Metazoa, Chordata, Mammalia, Dasyuromorphia, Dasyuridae.
AGUCAUUUUGGGUAAGGGUCUUCUACAUCCCUCACAGAUGGGGGCUCGUCCGGGAUGGGGUCUUUGGGGGAGAUGGCUAUGUGCACCCCGAACAGGGACAGGCGCCCACGGAGUAGUUUUCUCCAUGGUCUCUGGCUCUGGGUGAGCAGCCUCCCUCCCCUCUUAGACAACAACCCGAAGCAGGGAUACUCAGUGGAACGCAGAAUUGAAGAUUGAAAGAAGUAGAGUCCUGAUGGCCGGCAUUUGCAGCCUGAAAAGAAACAUAUGUUCUCGAGAUUUUGGUCAAAUUACAGAUUAUUGAAUCUCUUCUGAGACAUUGAUCGGCCCAUCUGAAGCUUAGAUUGACACCACACCCACACCCCUGCAUGGAUUGAGCACCUUCGCCCAUUUCUCAGCCUGAAGCAGCUAAGAUCAAGACCAUCGCCAGUGCUCCUGAUGUAAUUUGGACUGAUAUGGGGGAAGUGGGAAAGUAGUUGAUGAAUUAUUGUUAAAAUUACAACUCUAUUACUAGAGUUAGAAAAAAAAUGCAAACAUUACUGUGUGUUUAAGAUUUGGGAUGGAAAUUAUUAAAAAUGGUAACUAUUGCUGUUAAGGAAGCUAUAAAAUGUUUAUAAUAUCUAUGUUCACUUCAGAAUAUGUAAUUGUUUAAGGUAUUUGAUUUGAUUUGAUUGAUUUUAGGAAACUCCUCCUGUACUAGACUGUUAUGUACAGGAACUUUAAUUCACUCUUGGGAUUUAUAUGUUGAUGGUUAUUUGACUGUUUACUUUUUUUUUUUUUUUUGGAUGAUUACUUUCCAUGAGGGAAAAAAAAAGGAGAGAAAGAGAUAGGGAACUAGGGAAACUGGUGGAUUUUUCUCAAAAUACCUAAAAGAGUGGGAACCCUUAGUUUUCUUUCACUUUUGCCUUACGUACUUCUGCCCCAUCCCCUAUACAUUCAGAUUGAAUUGGAAGUCCUUAAACAAUCCUUUUUGUUUUUACUGUGUUUUAGCUUUGAAACCCUUAUUCUGUGGAAUUGCCCUGGCAGACUCAGUUUUGGGAACUAUUCUGUUUUAAAGAAAUCUCUAAGAUAAAGACAUUUGUCUUGGGACUGGCAAUCACCAGCCCUGUAACCCCAGUUUCUUAACUGGUACCUCAGCAUUUUUAAUAACAUUGCCCUUUUGAGAUCAAGCCUCUAAAGUUUGGAGUUUGCCUGAACUGUGCAUGCUCUGAUAGCUCUGCUCAGAAAUAAGCAGAAGCUGAGUUAAGUGCACAAAUGACUGCAGACCCCCUAACACAGUGAACUGUCCAUCUCAAACUGGAUUCUCUGACUGAGAUGAGGGCCUUUGUACUGCUGAUAACUCUGGGGUUGUCAGGAAGAGACUUGUCCUUCCUUGCAUUUUCUAGUUUCAUUUUGACUUAUUUGCCUCACAUUGGAUUGGUCAAAAUUAUGGUGCUGAGACCUCCCAGUAUCUUGGGGAGGUAAUUCAAUAAUUCAAAUAUUCAGAAGAAGAGUGUGUAAUGUUGUGCCUCAGUUUCCCUAGAUUGUCAUCUUUAUUUAUCUUUGUAUUUUUAUGUUUGCCAAAUGCCAAUCUGUUCUGUGAUAAUUGUUUCUAAGAUAGUUGGUGGAAGCAAUUUUUAUGGUAUGAACUUAUUGCAGUCAAUGGUAUUAUCCUGUUGCUGCUAUGUCUAUCCUGUAUAAUUACAUUAGUAACCAGAAUAGUUCAGUGGUCCCUAUCAAAAUAUUGCAUACAGAAGAUGCUAUUAAAAUGAUAAUUCUUCAGAGAAAAGACUGGAAUGUAUUAAAGAGGGAUGAUCUUGAUUGUGAACUUGAUAAACAAUGUAUAGAUAUAUUAACUGAUUUUGAAAAGUGUGUAAGUUCUUCAUAGAAAUAUGAUAAAAAUCAUUUACAUGUUAGAAGGGGGGAGCUGUGGGGAAUAGAUAAGGUGAAGAACUUACAGGAAUGUAUGAAUUCUUUUUCUGUAUUUUAUUAUUUCUGUGUCUCCCCUAUGACCUGUAUAUGUGCAGGCUCAUAUCUACUUGAGCCUUGGCCAGCUAGAAACAUAUUUACUUAACCUGAACUGAUGACAUUUAUUGGUAUUUGACAUUUAUCAAUAUUUAGUCUAUUAGCUGGACCACUGUCUGCUUGAUUAAGCCUGAAGGCCUGACUUUGUUUCCCAGAAAUCAGGAGAUUUCAGGGAAACAGAAACCUUCCAUUCCAAUCUCCCCAACUAGCAACAACCAAUUAGAUGCUUCCCCCUCCCCUUUCAAUGCUCUCUUAC